AUGGAAGUGAUGAUUAUUUCCCCAGAUGAUCGACAAUGAUUAUAAUGUGCGAUUUUUCUCUUUUUGAGAAUCCAAGCCAGUAUUCUGAUCCAU
The sequence is a small nucleolar RNA, 93 nucleotides long. It matches the Rfam family "Small nucleolar RNA Z103". From Rfam's summary of the family: This family consists of several snoRNA Z103 sequences which are members of the C/D class of snoRNA which contain the C (UGAUGA) and D (CUGA) box motifs. This family seems to be found exclusively in plants. C/D box small nucleolar RNAs are known to act as a methylation guides for 18S ribosomal RNA. The record is from Rfam.